CAGUAGCCGCGGAAAUACGUAGGGUGCAAGCGUUAAUCGGAAUUACUGGGCGUAAAGCGUGCGCAGGCGGUUUUGUAAGACAGAGGUGAAAUCCCCGGGCUCAACCUGGGAACUGCCUUUGUGACUGCAAGGCUAGAGUACGGCAGAGGGGGAUGGAAUUCCGCGUGUAGCAGUGAAAUGCGUAGAUAUGCGGAGGAACACCGAUGGCGAAGGCAAUCCCCUGGGCCUGUACUGACGCUCAUGCACGAAAGCGUGGGGAGCAAACAGGAUUAGAUACCCGUGUAGUCCCUGUCUCUUAUAA
This 301-nucleotide ribosomal RNA is filed under the name uncultured bacterium. RNAcentral's name for it is "partial 16S ribosomal RNA". It matches the Rfam family "Bacterial small subunit ribosomal RNA", at positions 509 to 809 of the family's 1533-position model. The record is from RNAcentral.